This 406-nucleotide ribosomal RNA is filed under the name uncultured bacterium. RNAcentral's name for it is "partial 16S ribosomal RNA". It matches the Rfam family "Bacterial small subunit ribosomal RNA", at positions 30 to 526 of the family's 1533-position model. The record is from RNAcentral.
AUUGAACGCUGGCGGCAGGCCUAACACAUGCAAGUCGAACGAGUGGCGGACGGGUGAGUAAUGUCUGGGAAUCUACCUUAUGGAGGGGGAUAACUUAUGGAAACUGUCGCUAAUACCGCAUACGAUCAAAUGUGCCGAGAUGGGAUUAGCUAGUGGGGGGGGUAACGGCUCACCAAGGCGACGAUCCCUAGCUGGUCUGAGAGGAUGACCAGCCACACUGGAACGGAGACACGGUCCAGACUCCUACGGGAGGCAGCAGUGGGGAAUAUUGCACAAUGGGCGCAAGCCUGAUGCAGCCAUGCCGCGUGUAUGAAGAAGGCCUUCGGGUUGUAAAGUCCUUUUAGUGGGGAAGCGGUACCCGAAGAAGAAGCACCGGCUAACUUCGUGCCAGCAGCCGCGGUAAUUC